Molecule: ribosomal RNA, 435 nt
Filed under: uncultured bacterium
Lineage: Bacteria
Description: partial 16S ribosomal RNA
Rfam family: Bacterial small subunit ribosomal RNA
Source: RNAcentral
AACGAACGCUGGCGGCAUGCCUAACACAUGCAAGUCGAACGAGAUCCUUCGGGGUCUAGUGGCGCACGGGUGCGUAACGCGUGGGAAUCUGCCCUUAGGUUCGGAAUAACAGUUAGAAAUGACUGCUAAUACCGGAUGAUGACGUUAAGUCCAAAGAUUUAUCGCCUGAGGAUGAGCCCGCGUAGGAUUAGCUAGUUGGUGUGGUAAAGGCGCACCAAGGCGACGAUCCUUAGCUGGUCUGAGAGGAUGAUCAGCCACACUGGGACUGAGACACGGCCCAGACUCCUACGGGCGGAAGAAGUGGGGAAUAUUGGACAAUGGGCGCAAGCCUGAUCCAGCAAGGCCGCGUGAGUGAUGAAGGCCUUAGGGUUGUAAAGCUCUUUUACCCGAGAUGAUAAUGACAGUAUCGGGAGAAUAAGCCCCGGCUAACUCCGU